Molecule: ribosomal RNA, 429 nt
Filed under: Chloroflexota bacterium
Lineage: Bacteria; Bacillati; Chloroflexota
Description: Chloroflexi bacterium partial 16S ribosomal RNA
Rfam family: Bacterial small subunit ribosomal RNA
Source: RNAcentral
UGGGGAAUAUUGCACAAUGGGCGCAAGCCUGAUGCAGCCAUGCCGCGUGUAUGAAGAAGGCCUUCGGGUUGUAAAGUACUUUCAGUCGGGAGGAAGGUGUCAAGGUUAAUAACCUUGGCAAUUGACGUUACCGACAGAAGAAGCACCGGCUAACUCCGUGCCAGCAGCCGCGGUAAUACGGAGGGUGCAAGCGUUAAUCGGAAUUACUGGGCGUAAAGCGCACGCAGGCGGUCUGUCAAGUCGGAUGUGAAAUCCCCGGGCUCAACCUGGGAACUGCAUCUGAUACUGGCAAGCUUGAGUCUCGUAGAGGGGGGUAGAAUUCCAGGUGUAGCGGUGAACUGCGUAGAGAUCUGGAGGAAUACCGGUGGCGAAGGCGGCCCCCUGGACGAAGACUGACGCUCAGGUGCGAAAGCGUGGGGAGCAAACAGG